GAAGCAGAUCAUAGUGGAAGGAUGGAGGCUUCCUCAAAUUGAACUCUUUCUGCUGAGCAAGCUGAGAUGCAACACUAUGAUCAAAGUAGUAGAGAACAGCAAUCAUCGUUGCUGGUAUGAAGGCACCAAUGAUAUAUAGAAGCGGAACAUGUGUCAUAUCCUGCUCAUUUUAUUGAUGAAAAAAUAAUUGAUAAGCAACGAUGUUUCACAUGAAGAAACUUAACGUUUCGAAUCUUUUGGUGAAUGUUAGAGUACCUUGACAACAGUCCAAUUGUCAUAUGCACCAGGGGACCAUGGGUUAGGGCUGAAAAGGCGUCGUGGAAUUCCUUUUGGUACACUUCCGUAUGGUAUGUAAGAAACUCCAGUCCAUACUAGUACCAUCAAUGGAACACCGUAGUCAG
RNAcentral lists this long non-coding RNA (401 nucleotides) under Setaria italica (foxtail millet). RNAcentral describes it as "long non-coding RNA (SITA_LNC002496)". Lineage: Eukaryota; Viridiplantae; Streptophyta; Magnoliopsida; Poales; Poaceae. The record is from RNAcentral.